Molecule: ribosomal RNA, 450 nt
Filed under: uncultured bacterium
Lineage: Bacteria
Description: partial 16S ribosomal RNA
Rfam family: Bacterial small subunit ribosomal RNA
Source: RNAcentral
GUGGGGAAUAUUGGACAAUGGGCGAAAGCCUGAUCCAGCCAUGCCGCGUGUGUGAAGAAGGUCUUCGGAUUGUAAAGCACUUUAAGUUGGGAGGAAGGGCAGUAAGUUAAUACCUUGCUGUUUUGACGUUACCAACAGAAUAAGCACCGGCUAACUUCGUGCCAGCAGCCGCGGUAAUACGAAGGGUGCAAGCGGUAAUCGGAAUUACUAGGCGUAAAGCGCGCGUAGGUGGUUUUGUAAGUUGGAGGUGAAAUCCCCGGGCUCAACCUGGGAACUGCCUCCAAAACUGCAUGACUAGAGUACGGUAGAGGGUAGUGGAAUUUCCUGUGUAGCGGUGAAAUGCGUAGAUAUAGGAAGGAACACCAGUGGCGAAGGCGACUACCUGGACUGAUACUGACACUGAGGUGCGAAAGCGUGGGGAGCAAACAGGAUUAGAAACCCGUGUAGUCC